UGGAGGCAGCAGUGAGGAAUAUUGUGCAAUGGGCGAAAGCCUGACACAGCGACGCCGCGUGGGCGAUGAAGGCUCUCGGGUCGUAAAGCCCUUUUGGCAGGGACGAGUGAGGACGGUACCUGUCGAAUAAGUCUCGGCUAACUACGUGCCAGCAGCCGCGGUAAAACGUAGGAGGCGAGCGUUAUCCGGAUUCACUGGGCGUAAAGCGCGCGUAGGCGGUUGGUUAAGUCGGACGUGAAAGCCCCUGGCUCAACUGGGGGAGGCCGUUCGAUACUGGCCGGCUUGAGGGUGAGAGAGGAGAGUGGAAUUCCCGGUGUAGCGGUGGAAUGCGUAGAGAUCGGGAGGAACACCAGUGGCGAAGGCGACUCUCUGGCUCACCCCUGACGCUGAUAGCGCGAAAGCGUGGGGAGCAAACGGGAUUAGAUACCCGAGUA
This 434-nucleotide ribosomal RNA is filed under the name uncultured bacterium. Its description in RNAcentral is "bacterial SSU rRNA". It matches the Rfam family "Bacterial small subunit ribosomal RNA", at positions 343 to 792 of the family's 1533-position model. The record is from RNAcentral.